This 584-nucleotide ribosomal RNA is filed under the name Mantidactylus betsileanus. RNAcentral describes it as "partial large subunit ribosomal RNA". It matches the Rfam family "Bacterial large subunit ribosomal RNA", at positions 1798 to 2608 of the family's 2925-position model. The record is from RNAcentral. Lineage: Eukaryota; Metazoa; Chordata; Amphibia; Anura; Mantellidae.
GCCUGUUUUUAUCAAAAACAUCGCCUCUUGACUCCCAUAAGAGGUCCAGCCUGCCCAGUGAUAAAAUUCAACGGCCACGGUAUCCUAACCGCGCGAAGGUAGCAUAAUCACUUGUUCUUUAAAUGGGGACUUGUAUCAACGGCAUCACGAGGGUUACACUGUCUCCUUUUUCUAAUCAGUGAAACUAAUCUCCCCGUGAAGAAGCGGGGAUACUAAUAUAAGACGAGAAGACCCCAUGGAGCUUCAAACCCAACUACACCCCCAACCCCUAUAACUACUAAAUCCUUGAGGCCCUGUAUCGUUGGUUUUAGGUUGGGGCGACCACGGAGUACAACAAAACCUCCACAAUGAACGGAAUUAAUUCCUAAUCUAAGAACUACAUCUCUAAGAAUUAAAAUACUAACAUAAAAUGAUCCAUUUUUUGAUUAAUGAACCAAGUUACCCUGGGGAUAACAGCGCAAUCCAUUUCAAGAGCCCCUAUCGACAAAUGGGUUUACGACCUCGAUGUUGGAUCAGGGUAUCCUAGUGGUGCAGCAGCUACUAACGGUUCGUUUGUUCAACGAUUAAAACCCUACGUGAUCUGA